GUUUUCUACUUGGAGAUUUCUCUUAUUGGAGUAUUUGGGCCCAGAUGCUUGUGAUAGAAAAAUCAACUCCUUAAUCUGGCCCAGGUUUGCAUGAGUGCUUAUUUGGUAGGAUUGAGAAGAAGGAACAAGAAGAUGAACGAGGCAGGACUGCAUCUUUAAUGGUUUUAUGUGGAAAUCAAAUCAUGAACAGUGGGAAAGAAGGUACUAUCUUUUCUUGUGUGUGCUUUGAUACCAGGACCAUGUUCAGCAUGGAGUUGCUAAGGUACUUCUGAAAUCUGUCUUGAAGGGAUCUGCCUGAAACCGCACAUACAUCCUGUGACAAAGCAGAGACAUAAGUUCAGGUCUCAUGUAUUCUUGUAAUGAAUCACUAUGUGCCUUUUAGUGAAAAAGAUAGAAAUCAGAUUGAAUUUCGACGGUGAGAAAUUGAGAGCUUGUUCUACCAGCAGGAGUCUCAGGGCCUCUAAUUUUACUUCGGCGAGCAAAGAUGAACCAAGAAUAUCAGCAACCUACUUUCCUGCCAAAGAAAACACAGUAUCCUAAAACUCACACAGACAAUCUGAAACAGAGAUUUGUCUAAACUUCAGUGAUUUUACCUUGUUUUAAAUACAGCGAUACAUAAACAUAGCAGAGGCACCCGACUUUAUUAUAUAGGACUCAACAGUAUGAUAUAUUACAGUGGAAUAAAAUAGACUGGAACUUUCAUCUGCACAUCUUCUCUUGCUCACAUAGGUAAGGGUCAAGGGCUGCUCUCUCACUCUCCUAAAUCCCAGUCACACAUCAGUCUUGUCACCCUGAUAGUUAUACCACACAGCCCUGGAAUGUGGUAUUGGUACUUGGAGAGCAGAGUAUUUCUGCUGGCUGCUGCUGUCUUUGAUGAGACAUUUAGGUUAUUUGUAUCAAAUGAAUGCCUUCAAUUAAUUUAAUGUCUCCACAUGAACACUUCUAUUGGUUUCAGCUACUUAAAAUUGAAAUAAUAUCAUUAAUGUAUAAAUAGCAGAAUGUUUUGUUCUAUCUCCUGUGUGGUUUUCUGUUUUUUCCAUUUAUGCAUUGUCUGUUGUGUAGUCCAAAAGUAUGUUUUGUCACUGUAACGUAUCCUCAUAAUGCAUCUUCCUAUGUAGCAUCAUCAGAAAACAUAUCAGGCUGAUUCUUUUUCAUCACUUCAUAUUAUCUCGUGUCCUAAUGCUGUUACUUCACGCCCAGUUCUUGUCAUGUUUUUGCUUUAUCACCUUUCAUCUGUAUCAUAUUGUUUUACUUCCUUUCAUCUUGUGGUUUUCUGUCAAAUUAUUGUGUUACCUGGCUUGGUUGUUUUUACCACUAUGUCUCCACCUGAAAAAAAAAAAUAAUCAUAUAUUCUAAUCUUCUCACUGAUUUAUGAUAAAACAGUACCACUGUGCCUUGCAAUGGAGAGUUAGUUUUGUGUUGGUAUGAAUAAGGCAGUUUUUGUUAUCAGAAAAUUCUUGAGAAAAGUAAAGCAGUAAUCUCAAGUACUGUACAGCAAGGAGAAGCAUAGGGACUUCCUUUUCUUUCACAAUUUCUAUUCUAAAAAUUUCAACAGAGCUUAGCUACUUUCAAAAAGCCUUUGUGUAAUUCAGGUGUAAAAUUUUCAUCUCCAGAAGAGAGAUUCACAAUGGUGAAUCCAACAAAGAUCUGUGGUUGCUACCACUCGGGCCUCUUAGGGAAUAUGGAGGAGAUCUAAUUCUGGAUCAUAAUUGUGCCUAAAUGUGACUUUGAACAGGCCAACCCUGUCAAAGCCAGAGCUGUUGUCAAUAUAUUAGGUGGCUGUGAAUCUGUAUAUAAUUAAACCUUAUGUGAAAUACCACAGAAGUCAGCAAAUAAAAUAGCUAGGAUUGUAGUGACAGAUGAAAAUGUUACUGCCCUUUGUUGUUUCUCCCAUCCUUCUGCAGAAGUUUUUCCUCUGCAAUAAAGGGGAGUGAAUAU
This is a long non-coding RNA of Gallus gallus (chicken), 1938 nucleotides long. The record is from Ensembl. NCBI's taxonomy places the organism in Eukaryota, Metazoa, Chordata, Aves, Galliformes, Phasianidae.